GCGGUGACAACGAACUGAUCGAGAUCGGCGAAGGCUCCAAUGUGCAGGACAACUGCACUUUUCACACCGAUCCCGGAUUUCCGCUGACCAUCGGCAGGGANNNNNNNNNGCCACAACGUCAUCCUGCACGGCUGCACCAUCGAGGAUGGCGCGCUGAUCGGCAUGGGCGCGAUCAUCAUGAACGGUGCGCGGAUCGGCAAGGGCUGCAUCGUGGGCGCGGGGUCUGUGAUUAC
RNAcentral lists this unclassified non-coding RNA (233 nucleotides) under Hevea brasiliensis (rubber tree). Lineage: Eukaryota; Viridiplantae; Streptophyta; Magnoliopsida; Malpighiales; Euphorbiaceae. The record is from RNAcentral.